Molecule: ribosomal RNA, 460 nt
Filed under: uncultured bacterium
Lineage: Bacteria
Description: partial 16S ribosomal RNA
Rfam family: Bacterial small subunit ribosomal RNA
Source: RNAcentral
CCUACGUGAGGCUGCAGUGAGGAAUAUUGGUCAAUGGGCGCGAGCCUGAACCAGCCAAGUAGCGUGAAGGAUGACUGCCCUACGGGUUGUAAACUUCUUUUAUAAAGGAAUAAAGUGAGGCACGUGUGCCUUUUUGUAUGUACUUUAUGAAUAAGGAUCGGCUAACUCCGUGCCAGCAGCCGCGGUAAUACGGAGGAUCCGAGCGUUAUCCGGAUUUAUUGGGUUUAAAGGGAGCGUAGAUGGGUUGUUAAGUCAGUUGUGAAAGUUUGCGGCGCAACCGUAAAAUUGCAAUUGAUACUGGCAGUCUUGAGUACAGUUGAGGUAGGCGGAAUUUGUGGUGUAGCGGUGAAAUGCUUAGAUAUCACGAAGAACUCCGAUUGCGAAGGCAGCUUACUAAACUGCCACUGACAUUGAUGCUCGAAAGUGUGGGUAUCAAACAGGAUUAGAUACCCUAGUAGUC